This 332-nucleotide ribosomal RNA is filed under the name uncultured soil bacterium. Its description in RNAcentral is "bacterial SSU rRNA". It matches the Rfam family "Bacterial small subunit ribosomal RNA", at positions 26 to 354 of the family's 1533-position model. The record is from RNAcentral.
AGAGUGAACGCUGGCGGUAGGCCUAACACAUGCAAGUCGAACGGCAGCACAGUGGUAGCAAUACCAUGGGUGGCGAGUGGCGGACGGGUGAGGAAUACAUCGGAGUCUACCUUUUCGUGGGGGAUAACGUAGGGAAACUUACGCUAAUACCGCAUACGCCCCUCGGGGGAAAGCCGGGGACCAGCAAUGGCCUGGCGCUGAUAGAUGAGCCGAUGUCGGAUUAGCUAGUUGGUGAGGUAAUGGCUCACCAAGGCGACGAUCCGUAGCUGGUCUGAGAGGAUGAUCAGCCACACUGGAACUGAGACACGGUCCAGACCUCCGUACGGGAGCAG